UGCUAUGAAAAUAAAUCAGUUUCAAAAUUCUAAUUAAAGAAUUAAAGAAAACAUAUCUGCUUAUUAAUGAAAAUGCAUCACAAAGACAUAGCUUCAAGCAGCUAAAGUUUGACUGUGCAAAAAAUUAACCAUGCAUACAGUAUAUCUUCAAGACUUUCCAGACCUUUUUAUUAUUAUAUUACACUUGCCUGCAUAACUGGGUCCCACUACAAAUUGUAUGCACAACAUUACUUAUACAUGUAAUAUAUCAGUGUUAUAUUAUUAGCACAGCCUUUUAACAGAUUGAGUCGACAUCCCAAUCCUGCAGUUAUUCUGAAAAUCAUACAGAAAACAUGUAUGGCAAAUCCUCAUUUGUUCGGACAUCUACAGUAUAUUUAGUGUUCCCUGGAGUAAGGUCAGGACAUCUACAGUACAUUUAGUGUUCCCUGGAGUAAGGUCAGGACAUCUACAGUAUAUUUAGCGUGCCCUGGAGUAAGGUCAGGACAGUUUAUUUAGUGUUCCCUUGAGUAAAGUCAGGACAUCUACAGUAUAUUUAGUGUUCCCAGGAGUAGGUCAGGACAUCUACAGUAUAUUUAGCGUUCCCUGGAGUAAGGUCAGGACAGUUUAUUUAGUGUUCCCUGGAGUAAAGUCAGGACAUCUACAGUAUAUUUAAUGUUCCCUGGAGUAAGGUCAGGACAUCUACAGUACAUUUAGUGUUCCCUGGAGUAAGGUCAGGACAUCAACAGUAUAUUUAGCAUUCCCUUGAGUAAGGUACCGGUCAGGACAGUAUAUUUAGUGUUCCCUGGAGUAAGGUCAGGGCAUCUAUGUGUAAAAUAUUUAGUGUUCCCUGGAGUAAGUUCAGGACAUCUACAGUAUAUUUAGUGUCCCCUGGAGAAAGGUCAGGGCAUCUAAAGUAUAUUAAGUGUUCCCUGGAGUAAGGUCAGGACAUCUACAGUAUAUUUAGUGUUCCCUUCAAUAAGGUCAGAACAUCUACAGUAUAUUUAGUGUUCCCUGGAGUAAGGUCAGGACAUCUACAGUAUAAGUACUGCACCCUUGAAUAAGGUCAGGACAUCUACAGUAUAUUAAGUGUUCCCUUGAGUAAGGUCAGGACAUCUACAGUAUAUUUAGUGUUCCCUUCAAUAAGGUCAGAACAUCUACAGUAUAUUUAGUGGACAGGACAUCUACAGUAUAUUUAGUGUUCCCUGGAGAAGGGUCAGGAAAUCUACAGUAUAUUUAGUGUUCCCUUGAUUAAGGUCAGGACAUCUACAGUAUAUCUAGUGUUCCCUGGAGUAAGGUGAGGACAUCUACAGUAUGUUUAGUGUUCCCAGGAGUAGGUCAGGACAUCUACAGUAUAUCUAG
Molecule: long non-coding RNA, 1338 nt
Organism: Mizuhopecten yessoensis (Yesso scallop)
Lineage: Eukaryota; Metazoa; Mollusca; Bivalvia; Pectinida; Pectinidae
Exons: 3
Source: RefSeq, a predicted model, not a curated record